RNAcentral lists this long non-coding RNA (1132 nucleotides) under Monodelphis domestica (gray short-tailed opossum). RNAcentral's name for it is "lncRNA (ENSMODG00000045856.1)". Lineage: Eukaryota; Metazoa; Chordata; Mammalia; Didelphimorphia; Didelphidae. The record is from RNAcentral.
AUGGGUGCUCUAACGUCUCUUCUAUUUCUAAUUCUAGGAUUCUCACCCAAUUUCCUCAUUUUACAGAGGAAGAAAGAGAAGUCCAAAAGAGGCUGUGUGACAGGACUGGUGCUGAAGGUGGUGAAAGACCAGCCCCAAGAACAGCUAGCAAGCUCUGCACAGCUCCACAAUGAACAAGGGAAGAAACCCUGUCUCAAACUGAGGCUACCAUCCAGGAUGUUCCUACAAAUUAGGUUUUCCUUAACCCACAAAGCCCUGUGAAUUCUGCCCAUGUGGGUUCUGAUUUUCUCUACUGCAGUGCAUAAAUAGAUGCAUAGAUGGCCAGCAGCCUCAAGAGGAAGAAAAUUUUAUUCUCCCUGCCUUGUCUCUAUCAGGGGAGAUAAUGUACAUAUGUAGAUUUAUACAAAAUAUAGCAGCUAGGUAGUAGGAUCAAUAGAGUGACACACUUGAAGUCAGGAAGACUCGUCUUUCUGAGUUCAAACCCAGCUUUAGAGAGUUACUGUGUGACCCUGGGCAAGUCACAUAAUCAUUUGUCUCAGUUUCCUCAUAUGUAAAAUGACCUGGAGAAGGAAAUAGCAAACUACUCCAGUAUUUUUGCCAAGAAAAUCUCAAAAGGGGUCACAAAAGGUCAGACUGAAAGGCCCAAACAACUUCAACCUUAGAAAGGUGAGGAAUUUAAGACAGUACCAUCAUGACAAAUAUUAACCAUAUAGUUAUUGCAUAGUUACAUCCCUCUGCACAAUAGAGAAAUAAGAGAUGUCUUCCAGGAAAACAUUCAAGGGGAAACGAACAUAAGAAACAUGGCCAGGAGCCAGAGCAGGACACUUUAGGACAAUAGGAGCCAACAUAGGUUCUCUGGGCCAUUGGAGCUAUCUUUGUGGUCCCGUAUAGCACAAUGGAAAGACAAUAUAACUAGACAUCAUUGCUCAAGUGUCCCUUCUAUGUCAACAGUUCCAUGGAAUGUUCUUAAAGUAUUUCCCUCUGGGGUCUGGCACUGUGGUUUAGUUAUAACUAUAUAACCUCUGGGAUUUUUUUUUCUCUUGUUUAAAAAGAUAAAUAGAAGUGUGAGGAGGGAGAGGAGUCCAAAAUGGAAAUCGUAAUAAACUUGCAUGAUGAGUGAGGUUAUAUAGCA